GACGAACGCUGGCGGCGUGCCUAACACAUGCAAGUCGAACGAGGUCCAUGCAGUGGCAACACUGCGGAAGACCUAGUGGCGAACGGGUGAGUAACACGUGAGGAACCUGCCCCGAAGACCGGGAUAACCCUCCGAAAGGAGAGCUAAUACCGGAUGCCCCCACCUGGUCGCAUGGCCGGGUGAGGAAAUGGAUUCCGCUUCGGGAGGGCCUCGCGGCCUAUCAGCUAGUUGGUGAGGUAACGGCUCACCAAGGCAUCGACGGGUAGCUGGUCUGAGAGGACGAUCAGCCACACUGGGACUGAGACACGGCCCAGACUCCUACGGGAGGCAGCAGUGGGGAAUCUUGCGCAAUGGGCGAAAGCCUGACGCAGCAACGCCGCGUGGGGGAUGAAGGCUCUCGGGUUGUAAACCCCUUUCAGCAGGGACGAAAUUGACGGUACCUGCAGAAGAAGCCCCGGCUAACUACGUG
RNAcentral lists this ribosomal RNA (469 nucleotides) under uncultured bacterium. RNAcentral's name for it is "bacterial SSU rRNA". It matches the Rfam family "Bacterial small subunit ribosomal RNA", at positions 28 to 507 of the family's 1533-position model. The record is from RNAcentral.